Molecule: ribosomal RNA, 490 nt
Filed under: uncultured bacterium
Lineage: Bacteria
Description: bacterial SSU rRNA
Rfam family: Bacterial small subunit ribosomal RNA
Source: RNAcentral
AACUAACGCUGGCGGCGUGCCUAACACAUGCAAGUCGUACGAGAAAGCCGGCUUCGGCUGGUGAGUAAAGUGGCGCACGGGUGAGUAACGCGUGGAUAAUCUGCCCUUAAGUGUGGAAUAACGUACCGAAAGGUGCGCUAAUACCGCAUAAUGCCUGGCAACACAAGUUGUCCGGCCAAAGAAGGCCUCUGUUUACAAGCUUUCGCUUCAGGAUGAGUCCGCGUACCAUUAGCUUGUUGGUGGGGUAAUGGCCUACCAAGGCUGCGAUGGUUAGCUGGUCUGAGAGGAUGAUCAGCCACACUGGAACUGAGACACGGUCCAGACUCCUACGGGAGGCAGCAGUGGGGAAUAUUGCGCAAUGGGGGCAACCCUGACGCAGCAACGCCGCGUGAGUGAGGAAGGUUUUCGGGCUGUAAAGCUCUGUCGAGCGGGAAGAAGUGUACCAUGGCUAAUAUCCAUGAUAUUUGACGGUACCGCUAGAGGAAGCACC